This is a long non-coding RNA of Biomphalaria glabrata, 1685 nucleotides long. RefSeq lists it as uncharacterized. The transcript is spliced from 2 exons. The record is from RefSeq and is a predicted model, not a curated record. Lineage: Eukaryota; Metazoa; Mollusca; Gastropoda; Planorbidae.
CGUAGUGGCUAUUUGAAUCGACAUAUGCUUUUUGUGAUUGCUGUUUGGAAUCAAACUUGUGCAUUCAUUUUAUAAUUAUUUAGAAUGGACAUUUUUUAAUUUUUUUUUGUAACUGAUGUUAAACAUCGGACUUGUGGUUUUUUUUUGUUUUUUUUUUCAGAAUCAACGUGUUUUGUAUAGUUGCUGUUUGAAUAGAAAUUCGCUUUUUUUGUGAUGGCUGUUUGGAAUGAAAUUGUGCUUUUUUGUUAUGGCUGACUGGAAUCGGACUUGUGUGAUUAUGUUUUCGAUUUUCAGAAUUGGACUUGUGCCUUUUUAUGAUCAGUAAUAGAAAUCCGACUUGCGCGUUUUUUUUUGGUGGUUAUUAAAAUUUUUGUGAUGGUUGUUUUUAAUCAUACUUCUGCUUUUUUGUGUGGGCUGUUUGAAAAAGACUUGUGUUUUUCUGUGAUGGAUAUUCACAUUCCGAGUUGUGCAUUUACUUUGUGUUUUUUUAGAAUGGCAUUUUUAUUUGUUUAUUUUAUGUGACGGCUGUUAGAAGUCUGACUUUGCCUCCUUUUUAUGAUCGGUGUGGAGUUCGAAACUGGUGGGUUUUUUUUGUGAUCAAUGUUCGGCAUAAGACUUGUUUUUUUUUUUUAAUCAACUGCUUUUUUUAGUAGUGACUGAUUGAAUUGACAUUUGGGUCUUUAUUGAUGGCAGUUUGGACAUGUGUUUUUUUAAUUGAUGUUCUUUAUCAGAUUUGUUUGUUUUUCUUUUAUCAAUGUUUUAAAUUGGACUUGUGCGUUUUUGUGAUCAAUGUUCUGCAUUAGACUUGUGUGCUUUUUUUUUGUGAUGGCUUUUUAUGAGCUCUGUUUGAAAUUAGACUUGUGUGUUUUUUGUGAUCAUUGUUCAGUAUCGGAUUUUUUUUUUUUUUAAAGAAUCAUGUGCUUUUUUUUAGUAGCGAAAGAAUUGACAUUUUCUUCUUUGGAGAUGGCUGUUUAGAAUCAAACAUGUGUAUAUUACUUAAGCUCUUCAUUGGAUUUGUGUGUUUUUAUGAUCAAUGUCUGAUAUUGUGUUUUUCAUAGUGGUUGUUUAAAUUAGUUGCUUUUUUUUGUGAUGGCUGUUUGGAAUCAGACUUUUGCAUUUUUUUGUUUGUUUGUUUGUUGUUAUUUAGAAUUGACUUGAUUAUUUUUUGGCAGUUUAUAUUUGGAAUCUACUUGAUAACUUUUCUUUAUGACUGCUUGGAAUCGACUUUUGUGUUAUUUGUAGUGGCUGUCUGGAAUUAUGUUGUAUUAUUUUGUUAUGGCCUUUCAGAAUCAAACUUAUAUUUUAUUUUUUUUGGUUAUAUAGAUUUGAUUUUUUUUUUUUUUGCUUUAGCUAUUAUAAUCCAAAUUUGCUUUUUUUUGUGAUGACUUUUCAUAUUGACACUGGUUGAAUAAAAAUUUAAUUAUUUUUUAUUUCACAUGAUGCAAGUUUACCUUUUGUUUUGCAGUAAUUAGAUUCAUUGUGAAGAUGUGUGCACUGGGCUGGAACAUUUCCAGAGAAAGCUGGACUAGCCAUGCAUCAGCAUACUAGCCAAGAUUGAUACCUCUCCACAAAUCAACAAAGACAUCAAUGAAGCUUUGUUAAAGCUAGUGACAAUUUACAUGUUUUCUUAUGUGGCUUAAUUAUAAUAAUGUCAAGAAAGCUAAUUAAAUAAGAACUAUACAUUU